CUAGCUGUAAACGAUGGAUACUAGGCGUUGAGAGUAUCGACCCUCUCAGUGUCGUAGCUAACGCGUUAAGUAUCCCGCCUGGGGAGUACGCGCGCAAGCGUGAAACUCAAAGGAAUUGACGGGGGCCCGUACAAGCGGUGGAGUAUGUGGUUUAAUUCGAUGCAACGCGAAGAACCUUACCAGGGCUUGACAUGUCCGGAACCCUGCCCAAAGGCGGGGGUGCCUACGGGAACCGGAACACAGGUGGUGC
Molecule: ribosomal RNA, 250 nt
Filed under: uncultured Chroococcidiopsis sp.
Lineage: Bacteria; Bacillati; Cyanobacteriota; Cyanophyceae; Chroococcidiopsidales; Chroococcidiopsidaceae
Description: partial 16S ribosomal RNA
Rfam family: Bacterial small subunit ribosomal RNA
Source: RNAcentral